UACGAAGGGGGCGAGCGUUGUUCGGAAUUACUGGGCGUAAAGGGCGCGCAGGCGGCGCGAGAAGUCAGGCGUGAAAGCCCCGGGCUCAACCUGGGAAUAGCGCUUGAUACUCUCAUGCUGGAGUACGGGAGAGGAGAGUGGAAUUCUCAGUGUAGAGGUGAAAUUCGUAGAUAUUGGGAAGAACACCGGUGGCGAAGGCGGCUCUCUGGACCGUAACUGACGCUGAGGCGCGAAAGCGUGGGGAGCAAACAGG
Molecule: ribosomal RNA, 253 nt
Filed under: uncultured bacterium
Lineage: Bacteria
Description: partial 16S ribosomal RNA
Rfam family: Bacterial small subunit ribosomal RNA
Source: RNAcentral